UUGAGCCGUAUGCGGUGAAAGUCGCUCGUACGGUUCUUAGAGGGCGGGUGCGUAGUAAUACGUGCUCGCUACUCGAC
Molecule: non-coding RNA, 77 nt
Filed under: Xenorhabdus budapestensis
Lineage: Bacteria; Pseudomonadati; Pseudomonadota; Gammaproteobacteria; Enterobacterales; Morganellaceae
Also listed under: 3 other names
Source: RNAcentral